RNAcentral lists this ribosomal RNA (89 nucleotides) under Kocuria rosea. Lineage: Bacteria; Bacillati; Actinomycetota; Actinomycetes; Micrococcales; Micrococcaceae. The record is from RNAcentral.
CCGGUCCCAUCCCGAACCCGGAAGCUAAGACCCGCAGCGCCGAUGGUACUGCACCCGGAAGGGUGUGGGAGAGUAGGACACCGCCGGAC